Molecule: ribosomal RNA, 392 nt
Filed under: uncultured bacterium
Lineage: Bacteria
Description: partial 16S ribosomal RNA
Rfam family: Bacterial small subunit ribosomal RNA
Source: RNAcentral
AUACGGAGGAUGCGAGCGUUAUCCGGAUUUAUUGGGUUUAAAGGGAGCGUAGGCGGGAGCUUAAGUCAGCGGUUAAAUGGUGCGGCUCAACCGUGCCCUGCCGUUGAAACUGGGUUUCUUGAGAGUGCAAGAGGCGGAUGGAAAUUAUGGGGUAGCGGUGAAAUGCUUAGAUAUCAUGAAGAACUCCGAUUGCGAAGGCAGUCCGCUGGGGCACGUCUGACGCUGAUGCUCGAAGGUGCGGGAAUCAAACAGGAUUAGAUACCCUGGUAGUCCGCACGGUAAACGAUGAUUACCCGCUGUCGGCGGCAGACAGUCGGCGGCCAAGCGAAAGCGAUAAGUAAUCCACCUGGGGAGUACGCCGGCAACGGUGAAACUCAAAUGAAUUGACGGGG